Molecule: ribosomal RNA, 399 nt
Filed under: uncultured bacterium
Lineage: Bacteria
Description: bacterial SSU rRNA
Rfam family: Bacterial small subunit ribosomal RNA
Source: RNAcentral
UAUUGCACAAUGGGGGAAACCCUGAUGCAGCGACGCCGCGUGGGCGAAGAAGUAUCUCGGUGUGUAAAGCACUAUCAGCAGGGCAGAAGAAAUGACGGUACCUGAGUAAGAAGCACCGGCUAAAUACGUGCCAGCAGCCGCGGUAAUACGUAUGGUGCAAGCGUUAUCCGGAUUUACUGGGUGUAAAGGGAGCGUAGGCGGCCUGGCAAGCCUGAUGUGAAAUACCGGGGCCCAACCCCGGGGCUGCAUUGGGAACUGCCAGGCUGGAGUGCCGGAGAGGCAGGCGGAAUUCCUAGUGUAGCGGUGAAAUGCGUAGAUAUUAGGAGGAACACCAGUGGCGAAGGCGGCCUGCUGGACGGUGACUGACGCUGAGGCUCGAAAGCGUGGGGAGCAAACAGG